Molecule: ribosomal RNA, 458 nt
Filed under: uncultured bacterium
Lineage: Bacteria
Description: SSU rRNA
Rfam family: Bacterial small subunit ribosomal RNA
Source: RNAcentral
AGAAUCAACGCUGGCGGCGUGCCUAACACAUGCAAGUCGAACGAGAAAGUGGUAGCAAUACCAUGAGUAAAGUGGCGCACGGGUGAGUAACACGUGACUAACCUACCCUUGAGUGGGGGAUAACUGAGGGAAACCUUAGCUAAUACCGCAUAAUACCCACGGGUCAAAGGAGCAAUUCGCUCGAGGAGGGGGUCGCGGCCGAUUAGUUAGUUGGCAGGGUAAUGGCCUACCAAGACGAUGAUCGGUAUCCGGCCUGAGAGGGCGCACGGACACACUGGAACUGAAACACGGUCCAGACUCCUACGGGAGGCAGCAGUGGGAAUUUGCGCAAUGGGGGAAACCCUGACGCAGCAACGCCGCGUGGAGGAUGAAGUCCUUCGGGACGUAAACUCCUUUCGAUCGGGACGAUUAUGACGGUACCGGAAGAAGAAGCCCGGCUAACUCGUGCCAGCAGCCGC